Long non-coding RNA from Podarcis muralis (Common wall lizard), 1509 nucleotides. RefSeq lists it as uncharacterized. The record is from RefSeq and is a predicted model, not a curated record. Lineage: Eukaryota; Metazoa; Chordata; Lepidosauria; Squamata; Lacertidae.
AGGCAGGCAGUAAGAUUUACUUCCGGAAGACUGCCGUGUUUGGGGUCGGAUGGAGGAUGUGAGGGAAACGCAGUAGUACCACCGGAGUCAAUGCCACCUGAGCUUAAACUGGGAGCUGCGAGAUCCAGCUUCAGUUCCCGUUACUCUCACCCUCUUUUAUGCGAAGGCUUCUGCCUGCUCUCUCUUUUCGGAACCCGAGGGCGGAUGCUGGAGCAUGUGAAGUCAUACUAGAAAGGAAAGUGCCUCAUAAGCAUGUGCAGAGUGCUUUUCUCUCAACAUCACUCUGUCCCCGCAGCAUUCAGGUUUAAACAGCAGGUUGCAGAGCAUCCUGACUGGUUCGACCAGGGUCCCGGCAUUGCUGUUUUGAUCAGCACUGACACCAGGGACAGACAGGUAGGUGCAUAUGUGAACGUGCCCCUAAAUAUAGUGAGGACUGCAACCUUGAGCUCUAAUGGGAACGGCUGCGCCCCCUUCCUCUUCAGCUCCCCGAGUGCACACCUGAUUCCUUUCUUAUAUUUGCUUUGUAUAGCUCAAACACAGUUUCGUAAUAGAUCCCUUCGGACUGGUGUUUUAUUUAUUUUUUGCCGUGGCUGACACUGUUUUUGAUUUUUAAUCCGGAUUCAUUUCGGAUCGCUCAGGUUGGGGUCCUCCUCUGUCUUUUACUAGAAAACGUGCUUCCUGAGACAAAGAAGCAACAUCUUCCCUACUCUCCCAGCUUUGCAGGUCAGGAUCAAAAGACACCAGGUGUCAAGGCAGGUGUGCUGCCGGCCCUUUUACAAGCGAAUCGUCGCAUUUGGCGGAUUCAGAUACCGGCAUGCAUACAUUCUCAUUGGGGUCUGUACGUGUCUGGAUAAAGAGGCCACCUAGAGCUGCAAUUCGAGACCAGCCUCCUGAAUAGAACCAACCUUCCGCGAUGCGCUCCUAUUGUUGAACCACAGCGAGAUCUACAGGUCCAAGGAGGCAGAGGCAUCCUUUGCACGGGAAACGCGCUGCUAUUCGCCGGUCUGGGAGACUCUGAAGUUCCCCCAAAAGGAGAACCUAAACCAGUUAAACCGGAUGAAAUUGGAUUAAGGUCCACUGGAGAAUUUGGCAUCGACUCAGGUUUGUUCCGGCUUAAGCAGCUUGUAGAUCGGGAUGGUAAGGGAUUUCCUUUUCUUUUUUUUGAGAGAGGAAAAAAAAAUCUACAAGUCAACGCCACGGCACCAGAGAUUCUGGACGACCCAAGAAACGGCGAGUUUCCCCAGAGAUUCUGGACGGCCACAAAACGAAGCUGGCUAAGAACUGCCAUCCCCGCAGAAGAGAACGUUGCGCCCGAUCCUAAACAGAUAACCAGUUGUCCGGAAGUGGAGUCGCUGCAGCCGACAGGAGUGGACUUCGACCUUCCAGGCAGCCUGAUCUAACUCCGUUAAACUAAAGCCCAGUGGGGGCAAGGGAUUAAAACUGGUUUAAUCCCCAGUAUUUUGGUUUACAUCCGCCAACAAAUACAACUAACCCAGCACUGGGUCCUCA